Molecule: long non-coding RNA, 698 nt
Organism: Sinocyclocheilus anshuiensis
Lineage: Eukaryota; Metazoa; Chordata; Actinopteri; Cypriniformes; Cyprinidae
Exons: 3
Source: RefSeq, a predicted model, not a curated record
GAUGGAGGUAAGAGUGUCAAAUGUAGAAAUCUGUAAUUUGGCUUAUACUGGGAAGUUUGAAGAACUGGAGAAAUGCGUGUUGUCUGACAGCUCACAAGCGACGAGAACAGAUCAGGUAUGUGGGCAGUGUAGGUGCACAAACACAGUUUCAGCAUGAUGCUAUAUUGAAGUCUGUGCAUUGAUUCAGAAGUUUGACGCAGGACUGCUCUGCACUGGGCUUGUUCAGCUGGACAUGUGGAAAUCGUGCAGUUUCUGUUGGAUCUUGGAGCUGAAGUGGAUCUCAAAGAUGAUAUAGCCCAGAUUUUGCUGGAAAACGGUGCAGAUCCUAAUGCGACGGACAAACUGGAAUCCACACCUCUACACAGAGCAUCUGCCAAGGGCAACUACCGACUCAUUCAGCUUCUUUUGAAAGAGAGUGCUUCUACCAACAUUCAAGACUCAGAGGGAAACACUCCACUUCAUCUUGCAUGUGACUAGGAGCGAACGGAGGCUGUUCCUUGUGGAACAUGGUGCCAGCAUCUACAUUGAGAACAAGGAAAAGAUGACGCCUCUACAAGUGGCUAAAGGUGGCCUGGGAUCUGUGUUGAAACGGAUCGUAGAGGGUUGAUGGACCCAGGGCAGAAAUGGAGCAAUGCACUUAGAGCUGUUAAUCAAGCUGCUGUUCAAGUAGGAUGAAUACUUGUUUAUGAGAGUAUUUG